UGGGGGAUAUUGCACAAUGGGGGAAACCCUGAUGCAGCGACGCCGCGUGGAGGAAGAAGGUUUUCGGAUUGUAAACUCCUGUCGUUAGGGACGAUAAUGACGGUACCUAACAAGAAAGCACCGGCUAACUACGUGCCAGCAGCCGCGGUAAAACGUAGGGUGCAAGCGUUGUCCGGAAUUACUGGGUGUAAAGGGAGCGCAGGCGGGAAGACAAGUUGGAAGUGAAAACCAUGGGCUCAACCCAUGAAUUGCUUUCAAAACUGUUUUUCUUGAGUAGUGCAGAGGUAGAUGGAAUUCCCGGUGUAGCGGUGGAAUGCGUAGAUAUCGGGAGGAACACCAGUGGCGAAGGCGGUCUACUGGGCACCAACUGACGCUGAGGCUCGAAAGCAUGGGUAGCAAACAGGAUUAGAUACCCUGGUAGUCCAUGCCGUAAACGAUGAUUACUAGGUGUUGGGGGAUUGACCCCCUCAGUGCCGCAGUUAACACAAUAAGUAAUCCACCUGGGGAGUACGACCGCAAGGUUGAAACUCAAAGGAAUUGACGGGGGCCCGCACAAGCAGUGGAGUAUGUGGUUUAAUUCGAAGCAACGCGAAGAACCUUACCAGGUCUUGACAUCCGAUGCAUAGCACAGAGAUGUGUGAAAUCCUUCGGGACAUCGAGACAGGUGGUGCAUGGUUGUCGUCAGCUCGUGUCGUGAGAUGUUGGGUUAAGUCCCGCAACGAGCGCAACCCUUAUUGCCAGUUACUACGUUAAGAGGACUCUGGCGAGACUGCCGUUGACAAAACGGAGGAAGGUGGGGAUGACGUCAAAUCAUCAUGCCCUUUAUGACCUGGGCUACACACGUACUACAAUGGCGUUAAACAAAGAGAAGCAAGACCGCGAGGUAGAGCAAAACUCAAAAACAACGUCUCAGUUCAGAUUGCAGGCUGCAACUCGCCUGCAUGAAGUCGGAAUUGCUAGUAAUCGCGGAUCAGCAUGCCGCGGUGAAUACGUUCCC
This 997-nucleotide ribosomal RNA is filed under the name uncultured organism. RNAcentral describes it as "bacterial SSU rRNA". It matches the Rfam family "Bacterial small subunit ribosomal RNA", at positions 355 to 1375 of the family's 1533-position model. The record is from RNAcentral.